UACGUAGGGUGCAAGCGUUAUCCGGAAUUAUUGGGCGUAAAGAGCUCGUAGGCGGUUUGUCGCGUCUGCUGUGAAAACUGGAGGCUCAACCUCCAGCCUGCAGUGGGUACGGGCAAACUAGAGUGCGGUAGGGGAGAUUGGAAUUCCUGGUGUAGCGGUGAAAUGCGCAGAUAUCAGGAGGAACACCGGUGGCGAAGGCGGGUCUCUGGGCCGUUACUGACGCUGAGGAGCGAAAGCGUGGGGAGCGAACAGG
RNAcentral lists this ribosomal RNA (253 nucleotides) under uncultured bacterium. RNAcentral describes it as "partial 16S ribosomal RNA". It matches the Rfam family "Bacterial small subunit ribosomal RNA", at positions 524 to 776 of the family's 1533-position model. The record is from RNAcentral.